This 65-nucleotide transfer RNA is filed under the name Dipodomys ordii (Ord's kangaroo rat). It matches the Rfam family "tRNA". From Rfam's summary of the family: Transfer RNA (tRNA) molecules are approximately 80 nucleotides in length. Their secondary structure includes four short double-helical elements and three loops (D, anti-codon, and T loops). The record is from Rfam by way of RNAcentral. Lineage: Eukaryota; Metazoa; Chordata; Mammalia; Rodentia; Heteromyidae.
GGUGGCUCAGUGGUAGAGUGCUUGCCUCCUAGGCAUGAGGCCCUGAGUUCAAUUCCUUAGCACCA